RNAcentral lists this ribosomal RNA (686 nucleotides) under Escherichia coli IS5. Its description in RNAcentral is "SSU rRNA". It matches the Rfam family "Bacterial small subunit ribosomal RNA", at positions 847 to 1533 of the family's 1533-position model. Lineage: Bacteria; Pseudomonadati; Pseudomonadota; Gammaproteobacteria; Enterobacterales; Enterobacteriaceae. The record is from RNAcentral.
CGGAGCUAACGCGUUAAGUCGACCGCCUGGGGAGUACGGCCGCAAGGUUAAAACUCAAAUGAAUUGACGGGGGCCCGCACAAGCGGUGGAGCAUGUGGUUUAAUUCGAUGCAACGCGAAGAACCUUACCUGGUCUUGACAUCCACAGAACUUUCCAGAGAUGGAUUGGUGCCUUCGGGAACUGUGAGACAGGUGCUGCAUGGCUGUCGUCAGCUCGUGUUGUGAAAUGUUGGGUUAAGUCCCGCAACGAGCGCAACCCUUAUCCUUUGUUGCCAGCGGUCCGGCCGGGAACUCAAAGGAGACUGCCAGUGAUAAACUGGAGGAAGGUGGGGAUGACGUCAAGUCAUCAUGGCCCUUACGACCAGGGCUACACACGUGCUACAAUGGCGCAUACAAAGAGAAGCGACCUCGCGAGAGCAAGCGGACCUCAUAAAGUGCGUCGUAGUCCGGAUUGGAGUCUGCAACUCGACUCCAUGAAGUCGGAAUCGCUAGUAAUCGUGGAUCAGAAUGCCACGGUGAAUACGUUCCCGGGCCUUGUACACACCGCCCGUCACACCAUGGGAGUGGGUUGCAAAAGAAGUAGGUAGCUUAACCUUCGGGAGGGCGCUUACCACUUUGUGAUUCAUGACUGGGGUGAAGUCGUAACAAGGUAACCGUAGGGGAACCUGCGGUUGGAUCACCUCCUUA